AUGCAGUCGAACGAGAAAUCGGGCACUCAGGCAACUGAGUGCCGGAGAGUAAAGUGGCGCACGGGUGAGUAACACGUGGGUAACCUACCCCCGAAUCCGGGAUAACCUCGCGAAAGCGUUGCUAAUACCGGAUAUUGUCCUUUUGGUUGUGACCUUUGGGAUGAAAGGCAACCUCUUCAUGAAAGUUGUCGUUCAGGGAUGGGCCCGCGUACCAUUAGCUUGUUGGUGGGGUAACGGCUCACCAAGGCUAGGAUGGUUAGCUGGUCUGAGAGGAUGAUCAGCCACACUGGAACUGAAACACGGUCCAGACUCCUACGGGAGGCAGCAGUGAGGAAUUUUGCGCAAUGGGGGAAACCCUGACGCAGCAACGCUGCGUGAGUGAAGAAGGCUUUCGGGUCGUAAAGCUCUGUCAAGUGGGAAAAAAGUCUGAUGAUUAAUAGUUGUCAGAUCUGAUGGUACCACUGGAGGAAGCACCGGCUAACUCCGUGCCAGCAGCCGCGGUAAUACGGAGGGUGCAAGCGUUGUUCGGAAUUACUGGGCGUAAAGGGCGUGCAGGCGGGUUGGUAAGUCAGAUGUGAAAGCCCUGGGCUUAACCCAGGAAGUGCAUUUGAAACUGCCAUCCUAGAGUAUGGGAGAGGAGAGUGGAAUUCCCAAUGUAGAGGUGAAAUUCGUAGAUAUUGGGAGGAACACCCGUGGCGAAGGCGACUCUCUGGACCAAUACUGACGCUGAGACGCGAAAGCGUGGGGAGCAAACAGGAUUAGAUACCCUGGUAGUCCACGCUGUAAACGAUGAGAACUAGGUGUAGCGGGUAUUGACCCCUGCUGUGCCGAAGUUAACGCAUUAAGUUCUCCGCCUGGGGAGUACGGCCGCAAGGCUAAAACUCAAAGGAAUUGACGGG
This 899-nucleotide ribosomal RNA is filed under the name uncultured bacterium. RNAcentral's name for it is "bacterial SSU rRNA". It matches the Rfam family "Bacterial small subunit ribosomal RNA", at positions 55 to 917 of the family's 1533-position model. The record is from RNAcentral.